Molecule: long non-coding RNA, 359 nt
Filed under: Heterocephalus glaber (naked mole-rat)
Lineage: Eukaryota; Metazoa; Chordata; Mammalia; Rodentia; Bathyergidae
Description: lncRNA (ENSHGLG00100046499.1)
Source: RNAcentral
UCAGAAUCAGCUGAGGGAGACUUAAAAGAUAUACCUGUGCCAAAUUCCAACCCUUUACCAUUUGAAAAUUUCUGCCAGGGACCCAGGUAUUACUAAAACCUAUGAGUGGUGGCAUGACCCCUGAUAAACUACUUCCCAUAGAAUCUCCUCCUCUUCAGUGUGUAUAGAAACUGAGCUACUUCUAACCAUCAAUUAUGGCAAAGGAGUCUCAGAGCGAUAAACCAAGAGAGGUCUUAUCUUGAGGACACCACUCGCAUUAGUACAUAUCAAUAAGCCUCGUCUAGUCCAUCCCACCCAUAAAGUUCUCUUUAUGGUGAUAAGAGCAGAUGCCAUAGAAGAGUGAAAUGGAUGACAGCUAG